This 185-nucleotide ribosomal RNA is filed under the name uncultured bacterium. Its description in RNAcentral is "partial 16S ribosomal RNA". It matches the Rfam family "Bacterial small subunit ribosomal RNA", at positions 1316 to 1500 of the family's 1533-position model. The record is from RNAcentral.
CUGCAUGAAGCUGGAAUCGCUAGUAAUCGCGGAUCAGAAUGCCGCGGUGAAUACGUUCCCGGGUCUUGUACACACCGCCCGUCACACCAUGGGAGUAGGUAAUGCCCGAAGUCGGUGACCUAACCGGAAGGGAGGAGCCGCCGAAGGCAGGACUUAUAACUGGGGUGAAGUCGUAACAAGGUAAC